RNAcentral lists this ribosomal RNA (460 nucleotides) under uncultured bacterium. RNAcentral's name for it is "partial 16S ribosomal RNA". It matches the Rfam family "Bacterial small subunit ribosomal RNA", at positions 338 to 795 of the family's 1533-position model. The record is from RNAcentral.
CCUACGGGUGGCAGCAGUGAGGAAUAUUGGUCAAUGGGCGCAAGCCUGAACCAGCCAAGUAGCGUGAAGGAUGACUGCCCUACGGGUUGUAAACUGCUUUUAUACAGGAAUAAAGUGAGGCACGUGUGGCGUUUUGUAUGUACUGUAUGAAUAAGGAUCGGCUAAUUCCGUGCCAGCAGCCGCGGUAAUACGGAGGAUCCGAGCGUUAUCCGGAUUUAUUGGGUUUAAAGGGAGCGUAGAUGGCUUGUCAAGUCAGCUGUGAAAGUUUGCGGCUCAACCCUAACAUUGCAAUGGAUACUGGCAGCCUUGAGUACAGGUGAGGUAGGCGGAAUUCGUGGUGUAGCGGUGAAAUGCUUAGAUAUCACGAAGAACCCCGAUUGCGAAGGCAGCUUGCUAAACUGCAACUGACGUUGAUGCUCGAAAGUGUGGGUAUCAAACAGGAUUAGAUACCCGUGUAGUC